RNAcentral lists this ribosomal RNA (484 nucleotides) under uncultured bacterium. RNAcentral describes it as "partial 16S ribosomal RNA". It matches the Rfam family "Bacterial small subunit ribosomal RNA", at positions 29 to 523 of the family's 1533-position model. The record is from RNAcentral.
AGUGAACGCUGGCGGCGUGCUUAACACAUGCAAGUCGAACGAGAACGGAAUAUAGCUUGCUAUAUUUGUCAGCUAAGUGGCGCACGGGUGAGUAAUGUAUAGAUAACCUGCCCUUAAGAAAGGAAUAACAGUUGGAAACGACUGCUAAUGCCCCAUAUGCCUUUAAUACAUAAGUAUGCAAGGGAAACGCUUUAGUGCUUAAGGAUGGGUCUGUAUGGUAUCAGCUUGUUGGUGAGGUAUGGCUCACCAAGGCUAUGACGCCUAACUGGUUUGAGAGGAUGAUCAGUCACACUGGAACUGAGACACGGUCCAGACUCCUACGGGAGGCAGCAGUGGGGAAUAUUGCACAAUGGACGAAAGUCUGAUGCAGCAACGCCGCGUGGAGGAUGACACAUUUCGGUGCGUAAACUCCUUUUAUAUAGGAAGAUAAUGACGGUACUAUAUGAAUAAGCACCGGCUAACUCCGUGCCAGCAGCCGCAGUAA